GUUGGUGAGGUAACGGCCCACCAAGGCGACGAUUGGUAGCCGGACUGAGAGGUUGAACGGCCACAUUGGGACUGAGACACGGCCCAGACUCCUACGGGAGGCAGCAGUGGGGGAUAUUGCACAAUGGGGGAAACCCUGAUGCAGCGACGCCGCGUGGAGGAAGAAGGUUUUCGGAUUGUAAACUCCUGUCGUUAGGGACGAUAAUGACGGUACCUAACAAGAAAGCACCGGCUAACUACGUGCCAGCAGCCGCGGUAAAACGUAGGGUGCAAGCGUUGUCCGGAAUUACUGGGUGUAAAGGGAGCGCAGGCGGACCGGCAAGUUGGAAGUGAAAACUAUGGGCUCAACCCAUAAAUUGCUUUCAAAACUGCUGGCCUUGAGUAGUGCAGAGGUAGGUGGAAUUCCCGGUGUAGCGGUGGAAUGCGUAGAUAUCGGGAGGAACACCAGUGGCGAAGGCGACCUACUGGGCACUGACUGACGCUGAGGCUCGAAAGCAUGGGUAGCAAACAGGAUUAGAUACCCUGGUAGUCCAUGCCGUAAACGAUGAUUAGGAGGUGUUGGAGGAUUGACCCCUUCAGUGCCGC
Molecule: ribosomal RNA, 584 nt
Filed under: uncultured bacterium
Lineage: Bacteria
Description: bacterial SSU rRNA
Rfam family: Bacterial small subunit ribosomal RNA
Source: RNAcentral